CGGAAAAGGGAAAGGCUUGGUGGCGGACGGGUGAGUAACGCGUGGGUAACCUGGCCCAUACAGGGGGAUAACACUUAGAAAUAGGUGCUAAUACCGCAUAACAACAGAAAGCGCAUGCUUUUUGUUUGAAAACCAAGGUGGUAUGGGAUGGACCCGCGUCUGAUUAGCUGGUUGGCGGGGUAAAGGCCCACCAAGGCGACGAUCAGUAGCCGGCCUGAGAGGGUGGACGGCCACAUUGGGACUGAGACACGGCCCAAACUCCUACGGGAGGCAGCAG
RNAcentral lists this ribosomal RNA (277 nucleotides) under uncultured bacterium. RNAcentral describes it as "partial 16S ribosomal RNA". It matches the Rfam family "Bacterial small subunit ribosomal RNA", at positions 77 to 354 of the family's 1533-position model. The record is from RNAcentral.